AUGUUUACCCAAAUACCUCUGACCAGCCAUCCGAGUGUGGAAAGUCCGGGGAUGAGAUCAUGUAGCGCGAAAGCAGAAAUAAAGGGAGGGACGAACGUCGAAAGUGAAAGUAAAGCUGUCACAAGGAAACGUGUAACGUGGAUCAGAGCAGAAGGACGCGACCCAAGGCGACAUGACAAGCUGGGGUUUGCUGAUUACAGUAGAAUAAUGACAUCAUGGAGAUACGCACCUUACUUCUUUCUCCUUGUGUUGCUAAUUGACUUGUCAAAGGAGGAAUGCGAGGACUACUUUGAUUUUUCGAAAGAUAAAAACCUGGCACACAAUCUGACAAGGACGUUCCCCCUGGUAAAGCCUAAGAAUACCACGGACUUGCUACAGUGCAUGGGCUGCACUCUAAAAAAAAGCAAAGGCAGGGACAAACAGUUCCCAUACAUUCUGAAAGACUGCUUUGAAUCGGUCAAUGCCGAAAGUUGUUCUAAUGAAACUUUUGGUAAUAUUUCGUAUUACAACCUAAUGUGCUUGACAGCCAAAGCGCUGGAACUUAACAGUACAGACAUUAAAGCCUGCCAUUUUGGUGACAGUGAAACUCUAUUCAAGCUGCCUUCACUACAGUAUUAUGGUAGGUCAAGUAUUUUAUUUACUAAUACAGUAAAAAUGCUUUUACAUAACUACACCUCUCAGUGA
RNAcentral lists this long non-coding RNA (684 nucleotides) under Betta splendens (Siamese fighting fish). RNAcentral describes it as "lncRNA (ENSBSLG00000006662.1)". The record is from RNAcentral. Lineage: Eukaryota; Metazoa; Chordata; Actinopteri; Anabantiformes; Osphronemidae.